Molecule: non-coding RNA, 419 nt
Organism: Danio rerio (zebrafish)
Lineage: Eukaryota; Metazoa; Chordata; Actinopteri; Cypriniformes; Danionidae
Source: RefSeq, a predicted model, not a curated record
GAAGGGCUAUGCGUCAGCGCCAUAGCAUACGCCGGCGUUUGACGCAGAAGUAUAAAUCAGCCUUAAGUCAAGAACCAAAUGAAGCACCAGAGUACAGAUUAUGGAGGUAUCUGAAGUUGAACUAACUGGAAGCAGGGAACCAUACUAAUAAAGUUCCUUAAGCAGGUUCCUUGUAAAGAUUAACCCAGGGAAGGAUCGAAUGUGGAGAAGACCAGAUCAAGAAAGACUACAUCAAGAUCUGCGGUCAGUUCAAAGGAUGUUUUGCAUUGGACUGUUUUUUUGGCUUUGACCCUUGCUUGCCCCUGACCUCACUCUUGGACUGCCCUGUUGGAUUUUCAGUUUAUUUAAUUAAAAAAAAAAUUUUUGGUUCUGGGUAGAUGCUAAUAAAUAUUUAAUUGUAAUUAUUUAAUGUAAAUCAA